CCUACGGGAGGCAGCAGUGAGGAAUAUUGGACAAUGGGCGCAAGCCUGAUCCAGCCAUGCCGCGUGCAGGAAGAAGCAUCUAUGGUGUGUAAACUGCUUUUGUACGGGAAGAAACACUCCGACGUGUCGGAGCUUGACGGUACCGUAAGAAUAAGGAUCGGCUAACUCCGUGCCAGCAGCCGCGGUAAUACGGAGGAUCCAAGCGUUAUCCGGAAUCAUUGGGUUUAAAGGGUCCGUAGGCGGUUUAAUAAGUCAGUGGUGAAAGCCCAUCGCUUAACGAUGGAACGGCCAUUGAUACUGUUAGACUUGAAUUAUUGGGAAGUAACUAGAAUAUGUAGUGUAGCGGUGAAAUGCUUAGAUAUUACAUGGAAUACCAAUUGCGAAGGCAGGUUACUAUCAAUAUAUUGACGCUGAUGGACGAAAGCGUGGGGANCGAACAGGAUUUAGAUACCCUGGUAGUCCAGCCGUAAACGAUGGAUACUAGCUGUUCGGAAGCAUAUGAGUGGNGUAGACGAAGUAGAGUAAGUAAGUACCGACCGUACGGGAGGUAACGGUUCGUCGAAGAAGUAGUUAACGUUACGUAAGUUAGAGUUAGACGGACGUUGAGACGUUGCGACGGACGACGACGAGGGAGGAGG
RNAcentral lists this ribosomal RNA (638 nucleotides) under uncultured bacterium. RNAcentral describes it as "bacterial SSU rRNA". The stretch from base 1 to 538 matches the Rfam family "Bacterial small subunit ribosomal RNA", at positions 338 to 873 of the family's 1533-position model. The record is from RNAcentral.